AUUGAACGCUGGCGGCAGGCCUAACACAUGCAAGUCGAGCGGUAGAGAGGUGCUUGCAUCUCUUGAGAGCGGCGGACGGGUGAGUAAUGCCUAGGAAUCUGCCUAGUGGUGGGGGAUAACGUUCGGAAACGGACGCUAAUACCGCAUACGUCCUACGGGAGAAAGCGGGGGAUCUUCGGACCUCGCGCCAUUAGAUGAGCCUAGGUCGGAUUAGCUAGUUGGUGAGGUAAUGGCUCACCAAGGCGACGAUCCGUAACUGGUCUGAGAGGAUGAUCAGUCACACUGGAACUGAGACACGGUCCAGACUCCUACGGGAGGCAGCAGUGGGGAAUAUUGGACAAUGGGCGAAAGACCUGAUCCAGCCAUGCCGCGUGUGUGAAGAAGGUCUUCGGAUUGUAAAGCACUUUAAGUUGGGAGGAAGGGUAGUAACCUAAUACGUUGCUACUUU
This 448-nucleotide ribosomal RNA is filed under the name uncultured bacterium. RNAcentral's name for it is "bacterial SSU rRNA". It matches the Rfam family "Bacterial small subunit ribosomal RNA", at positions 30 to 478 of the family's 1533-position model. The record is from RNAcentral.